Molecule: long non-coding RNA, 424 nt
Filed under: Octopus vulgaris (common octopus)
Lineage: Eukaryota; Metazoa; Mollusca; Cephalopoda; Octopoda; Octopodidae
Source: RNAcentral
UAUGUGUGUGUGUGUGUGUGUGUGUAUAAUACUUUUGUAACUGUAUUAUAUGGUCAAGAAGUUCAUGUAACCAUAUUUAAUAAUCUACAUUAGUGAUCAUUGUUUGCUAUUCAUUGUCGCUGUACAUUCACAAACUUUGUAUGACUUCACAUUAUUGCUAAAGAUAAUAGAUCACAAAAUGAUAAUUUAUAAUAAUAGCUUUGUGAUACAAAUUGUAGAUACCUUAAUACACAAUUGAUUAAGAAGACAAAAACAAAACCUGGACAAAACAUUAAUUCCUAAAUUCUGAGUUGAAUCAAUUAGUCAGACAUUUAAAAAAAAAUAAAAUAGAAUGGAAAUGAAUGCAACGUUCUUAUGAUUCAGCUGCCUUCCAGAAUAUUCUUAGAAUGAAACAAAGAAAAAGACAAAUGAAAGAAAUAAGCUA